CCACUGUUGAAUAGGCCUGCUGGCCGCAGCCAACUUCUUGUAUCAAGAGCCUGGUAUUCAGUUGCCCCAGAGACCCGACAUAUCAAAGUCUCCUCUCUCCGCUCCUGUCUCCUCGAUGGUAUAGGAAUGUCAUAGCAGUUAUCGAAUCUAUCAGUGGUUGCAAGCAGAAGAAACUGUCCCACGGGUGCCAUCUCCCGAGUCCCAGAGUGUAUCUCCAAGCACAGACCAAGCUUCUUGUUUGCGCACUUAACUACUCCUUGAUAUUUUUUUGGACCUGGCUAUCUUUAAUCCCCCUUGAGAGAGCAGUUGGGUUUCACUUACCCCCCUUUAAAAAAGGAAUGUUGAUACCUCCUAUUUAACAUUCAAAACAUCGAGAAACUCCCUGGUUUUGGGAAAUUUGCUAUUUUCUUGAUAUGUCUUGGUGCAUUUUCCAUUGUUAAUGGGGAUAGAAGGA
Molecule: small RNA, 454 nt
Filed under: Histoplasma capsulatum var. duboisii H88
Lineage: Eukaryota; Fungi; Ascomycota; Eurotiomycetes; Onygenales; Ajellomycetaceae
Description: Histoplasma capsulatum H88 hypothetical RNA
Source: RNAcentral